RNAcentral lists this ribosomal RNA (497 nucleotides) under uncultured bacterium. RNAcentral's name for it is "partial 16S ribosomal RNA". It matches the Rfam family "Bacterial small subunit ribosomal RNA", at positions 27 to 507 of the family's 1533-position model. The record is from RNAcentral.
GGGGGGGGGUGGGGGGGGGGCUGGGGGAGGGGGGGCGAGCGGAGGGGUGAGGAGCGUGCUCCGCUGACGUUAGCGGCGGACGGGGGAGGAACACGUGGAUCACCUACCUAUAAGACUGGGAUAACUUCGGGAAACCGGGGCUAAUCCCGGAUAAUAUAUUGCACCGCAUGGUUCACUAGUGAAAGCGGGUUUUGCGGUACGUUAUAGCGGGCUCGCUGCCGCAUUAGCUAGUUGGUGAGUGAACGGCUUACCGAGUGACCGAUGCAUAGCCGCGCUGCGAGGGUGAUCGGCCACACUCGAACUGAGACACGUUCCAGACUCCUACGGGAGGCAGCAGUAGGGAAUCUUCCGCACUGGGCGAAAGCCUGACGGAGCAACGCCGCGUGAGUGAUGAAGGUCUUCGGAUCGUAAAACUCUGUUAUUAGUGAAGAACAAAUGUGUAAGUAACUAUGCACGUCUUGACGGUACCUAAUCAGAAAGCCACGGCUAACUACGUG